GACGAACGCUGGCGGCGUGCCUAAUACAUGCAAGUAGAACGCACAGUUUAUACCGUAGCUUGCUACACCAUAGACUGUGAGUUGCGAACGGGUGAGUAACGCGUAGGUAACCUUCCUGGUAGCGUGGGAUAACUAUUGGAAAGGUUAUCUAAUACCGCAUAAUAUUGAUUAUUCCAUGAUAAUUCAUUGAAAGAUGCUAUUGCAGCACUACCAGAUGGACCUGCGUUCUAUUAGCUAGUAGGUGAGGUAACGGCUCACCUAAGAGACGGUACAUAGCCGGGCUGAAAAGGUGAAUCGCCCCACCUGGAAUGAGACCAGGCUCAGACUCCCAAGGGAAGGAGCAGUAGGGAAGUUUCGGCAAUGGACGACAGUCCGACCGCGCAAAGACGCGUGAGUGAAGAAGGUCUUCCGAUCGUAAAGCUCUGUUGUAUGAGAAGAACGAGUGUCAGAGUAGAACCUUCAUGCUGUGACGGUAUCUUACCAGAAAGCGCCGGCUAACUACGUG
Molecule: ribosomal RNA, 505 nt
Filed under: uncultured bacterium
Lineage: Bacteria
Description: partial 16S ribosomal RNA
Rfam family: Bacterial small subunit ribosomal RNA
Source: RNAcentral